This is a non-coding RNA of Vicia faba (fava bean), 186 nucleotides long. Lineage: Eukaryota; Viridiplantae; Streptophyta; Magnoliopsida; Fabales; Fabaceae. The record is from the annotation of a GenBank genome assembly.
AUGCUUGAAUGCUUUCAAACACAAAAUAACUCAUACAGACAGUAUAUUGUGUCCAUAUGCACUGCAAUCAUAAAUACCAUAAUGUAUCCCAAACACCAUCUAUGUGUGCAACCGUAUCCACAUAUCCCGAACAACGGAUAUUCCGACAUCCACAUAAUCAAACCCACUUAUAACAUCAACUAUUAA